RNAcentral lists this ribosomal RNA (440 nucleotides) under uncultured bacterium. RNAcentral's name for it is "partial 16S ribosomal RNA". It matches the Rfam family "Bacterial small subunit ribosomal RNA", at positions 338 to 795 of the family's 1533-position model. The record is from RNAcentral.
CCUACGGGUGGCAGCAGUGGGGGAUAUUGCACAAUGGGGGGAACCCUGAUGCAGCGAAGCCGCGUGGGUGAAGAAGCGCCUCGGCGCGUAAAGCCCUGUCAGCAGGGAAGAAAAAGACGGUACCUGAAGAAGAAGCACCGGCAAACUACGGGCCAGCAGCGGUGGUAAUAAGUAGGGGGCCAGCGUUAUCCGGAUUUACUGGGUGUAAAGGGGGCGCAGACGGGGAUGAAAGCCAGGAGUGAAAGCCCGGGGCCCAACCCCGGGACUGCUGUUGAAACUGCGUGGCUGGAGUGCAGGAGGGGGAGGCGGAAUGCCUGGUGUAGCGGUGAAAUGCGUAGAUAUCAGGAGGAACACCGGUGGCGAAGGCGGCCUGCUGGACUGCAACUGACGUUGAGGCACGAAAGCGUGGUGAGCAAACAGGAUUAGAUACCCGAGUAGUC